Molecule: long non-coding RNA, 482 nt
Organism: Melospiza melodia melodia
Lineage: Eukaryota; Metazoa; Chordata; Aves; Passeriformes; Passerellidae
Exons: 2
Source: RefSeq, a predicted model, not a curated record
GGACCUGAUCAAUAUUUCACUCUGGAAAGGGGGAAAAAGCCCCAAACCCCAAAAAUUAAACACCAGAGUGCUUGUGGGGAUGAAGCAAAGGGGGAAAUGAAUGGCACUAAUGGGCUGUGCUGGCCCAGGAGGGAUGCAGGGAUGCUGGGCACUGUCCUUCCUGCUGUUUCUCUGCUCUUUUCAGGGUACUCAGGACCCAAGGAAGCUCCACACCUGCUGAUGGCCCCUGUGGAUGGGGUGCUCAGCCAUGUGCCAAGGACACACUCCAGCUGUGCUGAGGGCAGGAUGGGAGAGAAAGAAGGGCUCAGUGCUGGCCAGGACAUGUGGCUGUGACCUCCUUGCUGCUGCUGGGGCCGGAUCCAUCCUGCCUGGCGUCCGUGCCCUUCCCAUGUGCCACCCCAGCCUGGCAGACUGGCAGCUAAAAAUAAGCGCAAUGCAGGGGAUAACCGGGUGCCUAAAUAUAUCCAUCCCUUCUUUAAUUA